Molecule: ribosomal RNA, 468 nt
Filed under: uncultured bacterium
Lineage: Bacteria
Description: partial 16S ribosomal RNA
Rfam family: Bacterial small subunit ribosomal RNA
Source: RNAcentral
GACGAACGCUGGCGGCGUGCUUAACACAUGCAAGUCGAACGGAAAGGCCCUGCUUUUGUGGGGUGCUCGAGUGGCGAACGGGUGAGUAACACGUGAGUAACCUGCCCUUGACUUUGGGAUAACUUCAGGAAACUGGGGCUAAUACCGGAUAGGAGCUCCUGCUGCAUGGUGGGGGUUGGAAAGUUUCGGCGGUUGGGGAUGGACUCGCGGCUUAUCAGCUUGUUGGUGGGGUAGUGGCUUACCAAGGCUUUGACGGGUAGCCAGCCUGAGAGGGUGACCGGCCACAUUGGGACUGAGAUACGGCCCAGACUCCUACGGGAGGCAGCAGUGGGGAAUAUUGCACAAUGGGCGGAAGCCUGAUGCAGCAACGCCGCGUGCGGGAUGACGGCCUUCGGGUUGUAAACCGCUUUCGCCUGUGACGAAGCGUGAGUGACGGUAAUGGGUAAAGGAGCACCGGCUAACUACGUG